RNA transcript from Prunus persica (peach), 1556 nucleotides. It is a transcript of the gene named J domain-containing protein DDB_G0295729, with no coding region annotated. The record is from RefSeq and is a predicted model, not a curated record. The transcript has 4 exons. NCBI's taxonomy places the organism in Eukaryota, Viridiplantae, Streptophyta, Magnoliopsida, Rosales, Rosaceae.
UAAAUAUUGCAUCUAUUUUCGGUUUUUCUUUAACUCCACUCAUAAGGUGCUACUAGACAAAAUUCAGUUAGAAAAUGGACUGAAUCGCAAAAUCGAAGACGACAGUAGGUAGUAGCCGUAUAUACAUGAACGAAGGAUAAUGGUGGCGCAGCUCCUGGUGGGUCCCAUCCCCAUCAGCGGCGGCAAUGUCAGCCCCGGUGCCGGUGGCUUCUAUUCUAAUUUCAGCCAUUUGUUUUCCCUACCAUGUCAUUUUCAGCGUAGAAGAAGAGGGAGAACCCGUACUCGCCGGUGGACACCACAAUCAACGUCAUCAUCGUGGUCGUCGUCGUCAUCAUCAUCAUCAUGGGCCAUGAUUAACGGCCAGCAGACCCACUACGGCGUGCUGGGCCUCUCACGCCAUGCCACCUCCUCCGAAAUCAAGAGGGCUUAUCGCCUUCUCGCUCGUAAGUAUCACCCUGAUGUUAGCAAAGAUUCUCAAGCUGAAGAGGUGUUCAAGAGUAUCCGUCAGGCAUAUGAGAUUCUAUCUAAUGAAGCAACCAGGACUCAGUAUGACCAAGAACUUAAAUUUCAAAAGGACACUGGCAGGAAAUACAGUGGAAAAUGGAGCUACAGCCCUGAAUUUGAAAAUGGAGUAAGGAUCUAUAAGUGGGCUGAAGUGAGGCAGAAAAUGCAACAGGAGAGACAUUGGGAACGCUAUCAUGUCAAUGAAGAAAGUUCGUCAUAUGGUAAAACUGAUGAAGCAACUGAAGAAGGAGAGGCAGUGCAAGAGAGAGGUUCCUUCAGUGAAGUGCUUAGAUCUGCCUUUGUAUCCCUGUUCUUGUUGCAGAUAUUUGGAUCCCGUUUAUCUCUCACUUUUAGUAGCCUGAUGGCCUUAUUUGACAGGAAGUUGGAUGCUGGAUAUAAGAUUGGUUAUGUAAUUGCAUGGGUUUUAGGUGGGAGAGGUGGUAUCUUGCUCACUUUGUGCCUGUCGUUUGCAAGUUGGGUUUGUGGAAAAACCAGCAGCAAUAUAGUUGCUCUGGUGGUGAUAGCCAUGUGGGUUGGCUCGAACCUUGCAAGAUUUGCACCACUUCCACAAGGUGCUCUGCUUACUCUCCUGUAUAUGUCUAUUAAGCUACAAGUUGAUUUGAACUAAAACCGCGGCUGUAACGCUAACGUGUUCCAUCUGCUUUUUUCUUUUAAUGGUUAAAGAAGGUGUUGUACAUAUGUUGUAUUAUUGACUACAAUCCAUUACAAUUGUGUAAACUGGUUCAUUGCAAAAGGAUGAAGAUGAGAAAUUCAUGUUCUUUUAGACCAGGAGUAUACUAUGGGCAGAUCUUUGUGGACUAAUAAAUCUCCAUUCUGUACCAAUAUUUUUGUUUUGUCAAAGUAGAUUUAAAAGAAAGGAGUUGGUGUGCUUGGUUGCACCAAUCAGUUGCCACUCAAUUUCCUCAAAAGUAGGUGCAAAUUUGAUCAUUCUUUUCUGGUAAAUGAAAAUUGACACUACAUUUGCAGAAUGGUAACUCAUAUUUUUUUCUCCGUAACCAAGCACAAUCAUCAACUCCUUCGUGCUUCCCCGC